GAGAGAUUAGUUAAAUUAUAAUAUAAGAUUGUCAGUCUUACGUUGCUAGUUAAACUAGUAUCUCUUG
Molecule: transfer RNA, 67 nt
Filed under: Conus textile (cloth-of-gold cone)
Lineage: Eukaryota; Metazoa; Mollusca; Gastropoda; Neogastropoda; Conidae
Description: tRNA-Asp
Source: RNAcentral